AAGUGUCCAUGCUUUGCCAGGGGUUGCCUGGAGAGCCUUUCACAGCAGUGUGUGAGCAGGACCACUAGGAUACAAGAUUGAUUUAGGGAGUUGUCCAGCACUGAAUAUAUAGAACAGAAGUUCAUUGUGAGUACGAAUGCAGGUGCACUGUGCCAUGGUUCAGGUUUCCUGUGGAAUUCCCACUCUGGAGGAUCUACUUGCCUCCCCAGCAACUAACAUGGAUGACUGAGCUUCUUCUUUCAAAGGCCCACCAGUGGGGGCAGGGUCUGUGUGGGAGACCUAUCUUCAGUGUCCAGGCCAGUGAGUGGCCAUCAGUUGGCAUCAACAGACGGCUGUAGAAUGACUGAACUCUUUUUUCCCUAGAGGAGUCCCAACUGACUCAGUCACCUCCUGGGCUCAGCUGUGCCUUCUGAACUCUCUACUAAGCCAUAUUGCCAUUGGAGACAAGUCCGGAAUCCUGCUGACAGGUGGUUGGCGUGUGGCCAGGAGCCCCACUCCUCUGCAGGGCCAGACCCUCCUGCACAGCCACAUGUGGGCUCAGCUCCAGUUUCCUAAUCUCCGUGGAUACUCAUGGAUACUCAGACACCUGGCAAAGAAACCAGUCUGGAAACCAAAGGAAGAAGCAGAGCUGGGAGCUUCCGGGCCCUCAGGCAAUUGUUAAAGAGAGAAUGAGAAAUGAGCCUCAGCAGUGCUGGGAUUGUUAUUUUGGUUUUGAGCACCACCUGAUUUUUCCUCUACUGGAGGAGAUUGGCAAAGCCAAGUAUCCCUCAAAGUACAAGGCAAGCAACAAAUUUCAUCUCUUUUCUGUAAGGAUAGUGCUAUGGAUUGAAUGUUCUCCCAAAGCUCUUUGAAGCUUGACCCCCAUUGUAAUAGUGCUAAGAACGUAGGAAAUCUGAUUAUGGUAUUUGGAAAGUGGGGCCUUUAAGAGGUGAUUAGAUUGUGAGGACUGUGCCCUCAUGAAUGGAUCAAUCCAUUCAUGGAGUAAUUGGAUGUGGUUCUGAUGGCUUUGUAAGGAGAGCAAAUCAGAAGCUUAGCUCUCAUUGCAGAAUGUGUCCUAUGUUCCUGUUU
This is a long non-coding RNA of Cynocephalus volans (Philippine flying lemur), 1068 nucleotides long. RefSeq lists it as uncharacterized. NCBI's taxonomy places the organism in Eukaryota, Metazoa, Chordata, Mammalia, Dermoptera, Cynocephalidae. The record is from RefSeq and is a predicted model, not a curated record. The transcript has 6 exons.